ACAUUCUAAUCUAAAAACUCGCACGCUCUCACAGUUUGGACCCGGAGAAACACGGUCCGCGAAACUGAGCUCAGUUCCUCCCAACGCAGUCGGCCAUAGCCAUGGCGACCUUACACACCAUGUCGCCCCAGAGCGUCGUCCUUCCUACGUCCAAACCCAAACCCAAAUUCAGACCCAACUUCAAGCUUUCCCAGACCCCGUUUUUCUCGAGAAACGAGCGGAAAACGAAGUCGUGGGCGGUAAAAUCCGUGGAAGAGUUGGACGUGAUCCCAGUACAGAGCGCGGACUCUACGGACCAGCAAGAGGGCGUGGUAGUGAGCCGGGUGGAGAGGGAAGGUGGGUUGGAGACAGAUUUGGUGGGCGGGUUCGCUGCAGGUCAUGAGGGGAGGCUCUCGUUCGAAGGGGCUGGUGAAUUUCAAGGAUUUUCUUCUUCUUCUUCUUCGGGUUCGGUUGGUGAUGGAGUGGGGAAGAGCGAGAAUGAGGAAAUGGAGAGACUCUUUGACAGGACCAUCAACGCGACAAUAGUUUUGGCUGCGGGUUCUUUCGCCAUCACCAAAUUGCUCACCAUUGAUUCGGACUACUGGCAUGGCUGGACGCUUUUUGAGAUACUAAGAUACGCACCUCAACACAACUGGACUGCUUAUGAGGAAGCUCUUAAGACAAACCCAGUUUUGGCAAAAAUGGUUAUUAGUGGAGUGGUGUACUCUGUAGGUGAUUGGAUUGCACAGUGUUAUGAAGGAAAACCUCUCUUUGAUUUUGAUCGAGCACGAAUGUUCAGAUCUGGCCUUGUUGGCUUUACUCUACAUGGCUCCCUUUCUCAUUAUUAUUACCAGUUCUGUGAGGAGCUUUUUCCGUUCCAAGACUGGUGGGUGGUUCCUGUCAAAGUAAUCUUCGACCAAACUGCAUGGGCAGCAGCUUGGAAUAGCAUUUAUUUUACUGCCUUGGGAUUUUUGCGUCGUGAGUCCCCAGUUAGUAUUUUUAAUGAAUUGAAGGCAACGUUCUGGCCCAUGCUGACUGCAGGGUGGAAGCUUUGGCCAUUUGCUCACCUUAUUACCUAUGGUGUGAUCCCAGUAGAACAAAGGCUUCUUUGGGUGGACUGUGUAGAGCUUAUAUGGGUGACAAUACUCUCAACUUAUUCAAAUGAGAAAUCAGAAGCAAGAGUUUCUGAAGCACCAGUAGAAGCCAGCUCCAGUUCUCUAUCCACAGAUCCCCCUCAGGAGUAAACCGCCUGGAAACAACCAGAACCGGGAUGGUAAAGAUGAGUAGUUGCUCGAAUCAAUUGUCAGAGAGUAAAAUCCACUUUCUUGUUGAUUGAGAAAGUGAUGUCGAUCAUGGCUGGCAUGACUGAUUAAUGUAUAUAGUGGAGACAUUUCAGAAACUUGCAUAUGUAGGGGUGGAAGCGAACCGAGUUUGAGCGGGUAGUGCUUGCUCAAGCUUGGCUCGUUGAAUUUUUUGUCGAGUUCGAACUUGACACGAGUCCCAUUUUGUUUCCAAGCAUGACUCGCUAGGGUGGGAACCUUGUUCGAGCUCAAGCUUAGAAAUUUUUGCCGAGCUCAAGCGCAUUUAAUAACCGAGUUGCUCACGAGUGGAGCUUUAUCGAGCUGAGCCUGGGUGAGCUCAUGGGUAGCUUUGUUCGUUUACAACUUUAGCCACACGAAUCAAAAUGUAUGAUUGCAAGACGAUCAUUUGAAUUAAAAUCACAAAUAUAUAUCAAUGGUAUGCAACUCUCAGUAAUAGGGUUGUAAAUAAAUCAGUCUGUUUAGCAACCCGCUCGAUACUUGCUCGGUUUAACUUGAACUCGAGCUCGAUAUUGUACAAACCCGCUCGUUAUUGUAGAAACUUGCUCGAUUAGUAAAUGAUACAUACCCGACUCGCUUGAAAAAACUCAAUAGGAGCUCGUAAGCUUAGCUCGUUAAAGUUCAAUCGGUUCAUUUAUCCGAUUUGUUAGCUCGUGAGCUUAGCUCGUUUAAAGUUUAA
Molecule: RNA transcript, 1977 nt
Organism: Corylus avellana
Lineage: Eukaryota; Viridiplantae; Streptophyta; Magnoliopsida; Fagales; Betulaceae
Gene name: Peroxisomal membrane 22 kDa (Mpv17/PMP22) family protein
Source: RefSeq, a predicted model, not a curated record